Molecule: ribosomal RNA, 734 nt
Filed under: Guibemantis razoky
Lineage: Eukaryota; Metazoa; Chordata; Amphibia; Anura; Mantellidae
Description: Guibemantis sp. razo MV-2022 partial 12S ribosomal RNA
Rfam family: Bacterial small subunit ribosomal RNA (bases 1-510)
Source: RNAcentral
UACCCCACUAUGCCUAGCCGUAAAAAAUUUAUCCACAAUAUCAAGCGCCCGGGUAUUACGAGUGCAAACUUAAAAUCCAAAGGAUUUGACGGUGUCCCACCCACCUAGAGGAGCCUGUUCUAUAAUCGAUAAUCCUCGAUAUACCUCACCAUUUCUUGCUACUCAGUCUGUAUACCUCCGUCGUAAGCUUACCAUUUGAAUGCAAAAAAGUAAGUUUAAUGAUCAUUCAUCAACACGUCAGGUCAAGGUGCAACCAAUGAAACGGGAAGCAAUGGGCUACAAUUUCUACAAUAGAACACACGAAAUGCUACAUGAAAAUUAGUCAUGAAGGCGGAUUUAGUAGUAAAAGAAGAAUAGCGUGCUUCUUUUAACAAGGCUCUGGGACGUGUACAAACCGCCCGUCACCCUCUUCAAUAGCACAUCUUAAUUCAUAAUCCUUAGAAGCACCUUAGAAGAGGCAAGUCGUAACAUGGUAAGUGUACUGGAAAGUGCACUUGGCAAAUCAAAAUGUAGCUUAAAUAAAGCAUUCUCGCUUACACCGAAAAAAUAUCUGUUUAACCCAGAUCAUUUUGAGCCACAAUCUAGCCCAUAAAAACUCAAAUAUUUUUCCCCACUAAAUAAAACUUUAAUAAAACAUUUUAACUUUAUAGUAGAGGUGAUCAAAAAAUUUCUUAGCGCUUCAGAUCAAGUACCGCAAGGGAAAGAUGAAAUAAAAAUGAAAUAAACUUAAGCAU